AAGAUGGUUCUGAGAGUUCCUUCUUUUGACAGGGACACCAGGGACUGCUGACCAUGCAACUUCAAUCACCCAUGUCGUCUAGCACCGUCCAGAAAGAUUCAUACGGACCCCCAACAAAAGCCUAUCAGCCACUUCGAGGGAAGCGUGAAGCUAUGCUGGAGAUGCUCCUGCACCACCAGAU
Molecule: long non-coding RNA, 181 nt
Filed under: Cricetulus griseus (Chinese hamster)
Lineage: Eukaryota; Metazoa; Chordata; Mammalia; Rodentia; Cricetidae
Description: lncRNA (ENSCGRG00000026275.1)
Source: RNAcentral